This 72-nucleotide transfer RNA is filed under the name Bos taurus (domestic cattle). It matches the Rfam family "tRNA". From Rfam's summary of the family: Transfer RNA (tRNA) molecules are approximately 80 nucleotides in length. The record is from Rfam by way of RNAcentral. RNAcentral also lists the same sequence under 1 other name. Lineage: Eukaryota; Metazoa; Chordata; Mammalia; Artiodactyla; Bovidae.
UCUCUGGUGGCUUAGAUGGUAAAGCGUCUGACUGCAAUGCAGGAGACCUGGGUUCGAUUCCUGGGUCGGGAA